Chiloscyllium plagiosum (whitespotted bambooshark) is the source of this 1330-nucleotide non-coding RNA. NCBI's taxonomy places the organism in Eukaryota, Metazoa, Chordata, Chondrichthyes, Orectolobiformes, Hemiscylliidae. The record is from RefSeq and is a predicted model, not a curated record.
AGCAGACGCGUGGUUAAUGGCGCCAGAACGAUUUCGGAGGCCGAUGGAAGAUUCUGGAACAGUUGAGGAACCCAGAGUGUGGGGGUAACGUUUUGAGGAUGGGAGUUCAAAUCCAGCCUGAAUCCAGAACUGAAGCGAUGAGGCGGGGGCUAGAAUCAAUGCCACAAACUUCCCAGGACCAGGUCUACCCUUCAACUGUGGCAAAGACAAUGGGAGCUGCAGGCUGAGACUGUGUACAGAGAAUGAUAUUUAAAUGAAUGGGAAGUGUAUCUACAUCUUUAAGUGCUGCAAGCCCAUUGGGCAACAGUGACCAGCACAAAGCUCUGCUUGAUGAGAAAUGCAGUUCCUCCUCGAAUGUGUCACUGUCAAUUAGCAGCUCCCUGCACUGGUGGGAAUAAAACUGACUGCAUUUAUGACCACUUCUGUUCUGUGUUCAUUUCUCAUGGAGAAGCUCAUAGAAUCACACAGCAACCAAAGAGGACCUUCAGCCCAUCUGGUCAUAGACUCUCCCACAUGGGGAAUUAACGUCUCCACAUCUACCCUUUAGAAUCCCUCUAGAAUCUUCGAUGUUUCAAAAAGGUGCGAUCUGAUUCUUCUUAACUCUAUUCAGUACAGAUCCUACCCUACUCAAUCUUUCCUCAUAAGACAAUCCCUCUGUUUUGGGGAUCAGCCUGGUGACAAUUGUAAUGUCAGAGUAGAGGUGUUCACCAAUGAUGGCACAAUGUUCAGCACCAUUCAUGAGUCCUCAGACACCGAAGCAGUCUAUGUGCAAAUCCAAAAAGAUCUGGACAAUAUCCAGGCUUAGGCUAACAAUCGGCAAGUAAUAUUCACUCCACGCAAUUGCCAUACAGUGACCAUCUCCAGUUAGAGACAAUCUACUGCCUCUUGAAAGUCAAUGGUGCAAUCAUGACUGAAUUCCCCACUAUCAACAUCCUUUGGCUUAUAAUUGAACAGAAACUCAUGUGUAUUCACAAUAAGCACAGUGGUUACACGAGCAGGUCAGAGGCUAGGAAUAGUGUAGCAAGUAACUCAUCUCCUUACUGCCCAAAGCUAAUCCACCAUCUACAAGCACCAAGGCAAAAGUGUGUUGGAACAUUUGCACUUGCUUGGCUGAGUGUAGCUCCAACAACACUCGACACCAUCCAGGAGAAAGUAGCUCUCUUGACAUCCACAAACAUCCACUCCCUCUACCACUGAUGCUAAGUAGCGACAGUGUGUACUAUCUAUAAAAUCACCAGAGAUCCUUAGACGGCACUUUCUAAACCCACUUUCAAAUGGAAGGACGAGGGAAGCAGACACAUGGGAACACUACCACUUGCAAGUUCCUCAG